AGGCGCGUCGGGGGCGAGUUUGGCCCCGCGGCUCGGGCCCCGGCACCUGCCCGGUCCUCGAGCUGCGCCCCGGCCCGGGCCCCGCCCCGCCAACCCUCCGCCCCUCCCGCCCCUCGCCUGCACUGCUCUCCUUUCGCCCGGGGGAAGCGACAACGUCCCGAUAACUUGCAGACUGUGGCGCAACUGGUCUCGACACCGGAGGCGCCCGAAUGCUGUCCGGGUGAGGAACCUGGGAAGGAAAACAGUCUCAACAAUGAAUAGGCCACUCAUCACGACCAAUUACAGAUGACUUGCCAUUUCAUUGACAAAGAUGUCGUCUGCUGCUGAGAAUGGAGAUGCAGCACCUGGGAAACAAAACGAAGAAAAAACCUAUAAAAAGAUGUCAGCGGGGUCCUUUCCAAAAUCUUAUUCCUUCGGGGAUUCAAAAUUUAAUCCUAUACCACGGGACAGAGAUUUUUUUAAUGCUCCUUAGAGCAAGAGCACAUGCUUGAGCCUCACCGCAGACCUUCAGAAUCAGAAGUUCUGGAGAUGCAACCCACUGCAUCAUCUGCCAUCAAAGGUGCUAUUCAGCUGGGAAUAGGAUACACAGUGGGUAAUCUCACCUCCAAGCCAGAUCGAGAUGUUCUCAUGCAAGACUUCUAUGUGGUGGAAAGUGUGUUCCUACCCAGUGAAGGGAGCAAUCUGACCCCAGCACAUCACUACCCAGACUUCAGAUUUAAGACAUAUGCUCCACUAGCAUUCCGAUAUUUCAGAGAACUUUUUGGUAUCAAGCCUGAUGAUUACUUGUAUUCCAUAUGCAGUGAACCUCUCAUAGAGCUCUCUAACCCUGGAGCCAGUGGAUCCUUAUUUUUUGUGACCAGUGAUGAUGAAUUUAUCAUCAAAACAGUUCAGCAUAAAGAAGCAGAGUUCCUUCAGAAGCUCCUGCCAGGCUAUUACAUGAAUUUAAACCAGAAUCCAAGGACUCUUUUGCCCAAAUUUUAUGGACUGUAUUGCAUGCAAUCAGGGGGCAUUAACAUCAGAAUUGUGGUGAUGAACAAUGUCUUACCACGCUCCAUGAGAAUGCACUUUACAUAUGACUUGAAAGGCUCAACCUAUAAGCGAAGAGCCUCCCGAAAAGAGAGAGAGAAAUCCAGCCCCACGUUUAAGGACUUAGAUUUCCUGCAAGACAUGCACGAAGGGUUGUAUUUUGAUACAGAAACAUACAAUGCGCUCAUGAAGACGCUUCAGAGAGACUGCCGGGUGCUGGAAAGCUUCAAGAUCAUGGACUAUAGCCUUUUGCUGGGAAUUCACAUCUUGGACCAUUCCCUCAAAGAGAAAGAAGAGGAGAUUUCACAAAAUGUGCCUGAUGCUAAGCGGUCUGGGAUGCAAAAGGUCCUCUACUCAACAGCAAUGGAAUCCAUCCAGGGUCCAGGGAAAUCGGGAGACGGGAUCAUCACAGAGAACCCGGACACAAUGGGAGGCAUUCCAGCUAAAAGCCAUAAGGGAGAAAAGCUACUUUUAUUUAUGGGCAUUAUUGAUAUUCUGCAAUCAUAUAGGUUAAUGAAAAAGUUGGAACAUUCCUGGAAAGCUCUUGUUUAUGAUGGGGACACUGUUUCGGUUCAUAGACCAAGCUUUUAUGCAGACAGAUUUCUAAAGUUUAUGAAUUCCAGAGUUUUCAAGAAAAUUCAAGCUUUGAAGGCCUCACCUUCUAAAAAACGGUGCAACUCCAUUGCCGCCCUGAAGGCAACCUCACAGGAGAUCGUGUCCUCAAUUAGCCAGGAAUGGAAGGAUGAGAAGCGUGAUUUGCUGACCGAAGGGCAAAGUUAUAGCAGCCUCGAUGAAGAAGCAUUGGGAUCCCGACACAGGCCAGACCUGGUGCCUAGCACUCCAUCGCUGUUUGAAGCUGCUUCCUUGGCGACCACAAUUUCAUCUUCUUCCUUGUACGUCAAUGAACAUUAUCCACACGACAGGACCACGCUUUAUUCAAGCAGUAAAGGGUUACCUUCCAGUUCAACCUUUACCUUGGAAGAGGGGACCAUAUACUUGGCUUCUGAGCCAAAUGCUCUGGAAAUGCAGGAUGAUAAUGCCUCCGUGCUUGAUGUCUAUUUAUUCCUCAGGCGACUCCUUUACCUGAUGUAGAAUGCAAUUUGGUGUUAACGGAAAGAGGAACAAGCAACAAAGGCAGUGCAGCUGAAAAAUGUCAUGGUAAGUGAAAAUGGUGACCACAUAAGCAGAUGGAUGAGGCAGGAACACGGUUGUGGGAGAGAAGUUUCUCCACUCCACAAUUUCCCAAAGGAAACUGGGCUGAGCCCCACUACACACAGAGUCAUCAUCAACUGGACUUGGAGCCUGCGAGAUGUCAGGGGAGCCUCGGCUGAGAGGCUGAUCGGCAGAUGUGAUGUGAAAAAUACCACACUCUUCUGUCAUUUGCUGUUGCUUGCUGAACUGUGAAGAACUGCAUGAACUCUAUUUAAGCUGCUUUCUAUACCAUUGCCAAUCACCUUUUUGGACUUGGAAGUGCUAUUUUACUAUUGACACUUGCAUUGUUUCAUUUUGCAUGCAUCCAGUGAUUAUCCAUAAGCAACAUAUGUAAUCUGCUUAUAUAUUUUUAAAAAAUCUAUCCAUGCAAAAUGGUAACGUCUGAAUUAUGCUCUUUUUCAAAGUUAUAAUCAGCCCAUGUCAUUAAAAGUUUAAAUUGGUUUCAUAUAAAGAUCAGUGUAAUAGGUCUGCAUAUACUUUAUAGAAAAUUAGCUUCUAUAAAGAUUUUUUCACUGUUUACUAGUGAAAUGAGAAAAGCAAAGCUAUUUAUAAAAGGCCUUAUGUCGUGUACAUACAUUGUCUUUGAAAUAUUUGUGAUUUAGUUUAUUGCUUGUAAAAGAGAUUAUAUAAUUUAUUUAGUAAAUACUAUUGUAAACUAUAGUUUUAUUGAGAGAAAUAAAAUAUUUUGUUCUCAA
Molecule: non-coding RNA, 2933 nt
Organism: Globicephala melas (long-finned pilot whale)
Lineage: Eukaryota; Metazoa; Chordata; Mammalia; Artiodactyla; Delphinidae
Source: RefSeq, a predicted model, not a curated record